GACGAACGCUGGCGGCGUGCUUAACACAUGCAAGUCGAGCGGAAAGGCCUCUUUGGGGGUGCUCGAGCGGCGAACGGGUGAGUAACACGUGAGUAACCUGCCCUGGGCUUGGGGAUAACCCUCGGGAAACGGGGCUAAUACCCGAUAUUCACGUCGGUCUGCAUGGGCUGGUGUGGAAAGUNUUUUUUGGCUCAGGUUGGGCUCGCGGCCUAUCAGCUUGUUGGGUGGGGUGAUGGCCUACCAAGGCGACGACGGGUAGCCGGCCUGAGAGGGCGACCGGCCACACUGGGACUGAGACACGGCCCAGACUCCGUACGGGAGGCAGCGAGUGGGGAAUCUUGCGCAAUGGGCGAAAGCCUGACGCAGCGACGCCGCGUGAGGGAUGAC
This 387-nucleotide ribosomal RNA is filed under the name uncultured bacterium. RNAcentral's name for it is "bacterial SSU rRNA". It matches the Rfam family "Bacterial small subunit ribosomal RNA", at positions 28 to 412 of the family's 1533-position model. The record is from RNAcentral.